AAAUAAAUUAACAUAAGUAGUUUCCUACUGAAUGGGUUUUAGAAAAGUUUACUUUUUAAAUUUGAAAUUAAGUAUAUUAUUAUAUAUUCAAAAUCCUGCCCCAACUGACAUUCUCUUUUACGCAAGCUUAUGUAUUUCCUCUCUCACAUUUAGCCCUGUCUUGCAGGAAUGCUCUAAAGAAAGGACGAUUCAGUACUGGAAAGAAAUGGUGGACCCUAUGGCUUACACCCAGCCAAACACUUAUGGCAUCCAUUUCAUAGGAUGCAUUUAAGUAUGUCUGUGGGUGUUCUUUGGAAGCAUGAAACAAACUAAGAUGCUCAACAGAUAAAGUGGCCCUACACAUCUGUCCACAUAUGUGCCAGGGAAGGUUUAAAGGACUCUGUACCACUGAGAUAUAUAAUAAGAUAAGCUGUAUACAGGACAUUUUAGAAAAGCGAGAGUUAAUGCUGUCUCUGGAAAGCAGGUGCAGGCCCCAUCAUGCCCUGGAGCAGUGGCUCAGCCUGUUGAACAGAAAAGGAGAAUUCCACUUGAUGAUGAGAAGAAAUAAAUCAGUUGGAGAAGGAAGUAGCUUGUGGCUCCUUGAGAAUUUUUCUAUUCUUCCAGCCUUCUCAUUCAAACAGAUAAAAGAGCAAGAGGAGUCCUUGGGCAAACCACAAGUAAAUGGGAAUAGUGAGUGGCUUGACUUUUCUACCAAAAUCAUAUUACUGAUCUUUUUUUCUCUGUACCCCAUUAGCAGCAUCUCUUGGUGAGCUGGAGGAAGCCUUCUUUUAUAGGUAUUGUGAGAGGUUGUAUUCUGAAUUAAUGCAGACAUUCAUUUGGAUAUUACCCUAAUAACUGCUGUUAUCCUUGCAUGGAACUGCUCUAUAAAUGUGCAUGAUCAUGGCUAUUUCUGGUGUUUGGUCUUGUAACACAAAUAAUUAUUCUGGGAAUAAACUGAAAAAAAGUAGAGAGAGUGAGAAGAACCUAGCUGUCUGCACACUCAUCAGAUGGCACUCGGGAUGAAGGUGUUCUGUGAUAGAUCUUCCAUUCACUUGCCAACGUUUCCCUCUCCAGAAAAGAAAGUCAUCUCAAUAAUUUUCAAAGAUAGAACGGCAGUAGCUGAACUCACUGUUUUUUGAGCUUGCAGUUUAUUCUUAGAAUCUAAGUGUCACUGUCCAGCCAAGCCCAUGGAUCCAGGUGGGUGAACAAACCAAGGCUGGCUCUUCUAUCUGGGAGCCAAGAACUAUGAUGGGAAAGAUGUUUUUCAAAGAAAAAGGUGUAUAUAUUUUUGGGGAGUUGCUUUGAAACUCAUCUUUGGAAAAGUGCAAAUUGCAGUCUGAGGCUUCCUCUUUUAUGGAAUGUGACACUAGUUUCCUGGAUGUUUGCAUUCCAAGAGAAAGCUUAUAAACUAUCACUUCAGUGCGUCAUGCACAAUAAAAAGUAAGUCAAAGAAUGAUGCAUUCCUGGUCUUGGAAUAUGAUGAAAAAUGUUUCCCAUCUGCCUUUUUUUCUUUCUUUUUUCAGGUUGUGUAACUAGAAUCAUAGAAUCCUUAGAGUUGGAAGGGAUCUUUAAAGGUCAUCUAGUCCAACUCCCCUGCAAUGAACAGGGACAUUCACAGCUCGAUCAGGUGUUGCCCAAGGCCUGAUUCAGCCUCAUUCAGGGAUCAAACGCAUCGCUAGGCAACCUGCUCCAGUGCUUCAGCACCUCACUGUAGAAGAUUUUUUUCUCUAUGUCCAACCCAAAUCUACCCUCUUUAAGCUUGAAGCCAUUUGCCCUUGUACUAUCACCACAGAUCAUGCUAAAGAGUGUGCCCCUUUCUUUCCUGUAGAUCCCUUUUAGAUACUGAAAGACUGCUCUCAGAUCACCUCAAAGCUUCCUCUUCUCCAGGCUGAAUAACCCCAGGUUUCUCAGCCUUGUAGGAAAGGUGUUCCAUCUCUUGGAUAAUUUUUGUGGCCCUCCUCUGGAUACACUCCAUCAGGUCCAUAUCUCUUAUGUACUGAGGACUCCACAUCUGGAUGCAGUACUCCAGGUGAAGUCUCACAAUGCAGAGAAGAAGAGCAAGAUCACCUUCCUUGACCUGCUGGCCAUGCAUCUUUUAAUGCAUCCCAGGAUACGAUUGGCUUUCUGGACUGUGAGGUCACAUUGCUGGCUCACGUCCAGCUUACCAUCCAGCAGUACACACAGAUCUUUUUUGGCAGGGCUGCACUCAAUCCUUUCAUCCCCCUGAUUUUAUUGGUAGUAAAGGUUGCCAUAACACAGGUGCAAAAUCUUGCACUUGGAUUUGUUAAACUUCUUGAGGUUCAACUGCGGGUCCACUGCUCAAGACUGUCUGGGUCCCCCUGGAUGGCAUCCCAUCCCUCCGGUGUGUUGGCUGCACCCCACAGACUGGUGUAAUCAGCAAACUUGCUGAGGAUGCAGUUGACCUCACUGACAAUGUCAUUGAUGAGGAUAUUAAAGAGUACCAGUCCCAGCACUGAUCCCCAUGGGAUACCACUGAUCCAAACAUUGAACAACUGAGCACCGCUUCCUGGACUCAAUCCUGCAGCCAGUUCUUCAUCCAUUGAUCAGUCCACCCAUCAAAUUCGUAUUUUUCCAAUUUGGAGAGAAGGAUGUUGUGGGGUACCAUGUCAAAGGUCUUACUGAAGACCAGAUAGAUGACGUCAGUGGCUCUUCACUUCUUCAUUGAUGCAGUGACACCAUCAUAAAAGGCCAUUUGGUUGGUCAAACAGGAUUUGCAUAGCUUCUAGGAGGAUCUGCUCCAUAAUCUCUCUCAGCACAGAGAAUAUUUCAGAAGUGAAAGAUGGAGAAUCAUGUGUUGUUAAAUCGUAAGGAAGAUCUAAAGGAAUGAGAAAGGAAAAUGAACAAUGUUUCUCUUAUUGUGGAAACCUUAAUGUGUGAUUCCAAGAAUAAACAAUAACCUUGGACAGAUACAAAAGGUAAAGUAUUAUUAAAUCAGAACGUUUUUUAAAAUACAUAUUUCUCAAUUGAUUUUCUAGAUUUUAUCUCAGAUACAGCUUGCGUUACAUGUCCAGGUAUAUUUUGUUGUUAUUUCUUUUCAGAGAGGCAUUCAAAUACAGUGACUCAGAUACCUUUAUCCACAGAAUUUUGUAAAAAAACAAGCUUUUCACUUUCAUAUCCUGAGCUCUCCUGUCCAGCUGACACAUUCCAAAUGACUAUUUGGUUUCAAGUUCCACGCUGCACUCUACCAAAUUUUUUUUUCUGAGCAGAUCAAGGCUGCAACACUUUGUAAGCAUUUUCAUAAGAAUGAUAACAUCCAAUCAGAACAUUAUAUAUGGUAGAACACAAGCCGACCACAACGUUGUUAACCUUGAAAGUUGGCCUUUCCUAUAGAGCUUAGGUCUCUUAACUGUAGCCUAAAUAUAAAAACAAAACAAAACAAAACAAAACAAUUUCAACUGAGAAAUAGAUUUCACCUGGUGAAAGGAAUGAGACUUCUUUGUAGAGUUAGCCAAAUAAUAUCAAAGAACUAGUUACAGUC
Molecule: long non-coding RNA, 3478 nt
Organism: Tympanuchus pallidicinctus (lesser prairie-chicken)
Lineage: Eukaryota; Metazoa; Chordata; Aves; Galliformes; Phasianidae
Exons: 4
Source: RefSeq, a predicted model, not a curated record